This 254-nucleotide ribosomal RNA is filed under the name uncultured bacterium. RNAcentral describes it as "partial 16S ribosomal RNA". It matches the Rfam family "Bacterial small subunit ribosomal RNA", at positions 524 to 776 of the family's 1533-position model. The record is from RNAcentral.
UACGGGGGGAGCAAGCGUUGUUCGGAUUUACUGGGCGUAAAGGGCGCGUAGGCGGUCAGCACAAGUCAGUUGUGAAAUCUCCGGGCUUAACUCGGAAAGGUCAACUGAUACUGUGCGACUAGAGUGCGGAAGGGGCAACUGGAAUUCUCGGUGUAGCGGUGAAAUGCGCAGAUAUCAGGAGGAACACCGGUGGCGAAGGCGGGUCUCUGGGCCGUAACUGACGCUGAGGAGCGAAAGCGUGGGGAGCGAACAGG